RNAcentral lists this ribosomal RNA (209 nucleotides) under uncultured bacterium. Its description in RNAcentral is "partial 16S ribosomal RNA". It matches the Rfam family "Bacterial small subunit ribosomal RNA", at positions 568 to 774 of the family's 1533-position model. The record is from RNAcentral.
CGCGCAGGCGGCCAGGUCAGUCGAAUGUGAAAGCCCCCCGGCUCAACUGGGGGAAGGUCGUUCGAUACUGCCUGGCUCGAAGAUAGGAGAGGGAAGUGGAAUUUCAGGUGUAGUGGUGAAAUGCGUAGAUAUCUGAAGGAACACCAGUGGCGAAGGCGACUUUCUGGCCUAUUCUUGACGCUGAGGCGCGAAAGCUAGGGGAGCGAACG